RNAcentral lists this ribosomal RNA (465 nucleotides) under uncultured bacterium. RNAcentral describes it as "partial 16S ribosomal RNA". It matches the Rfam family "Bacterial small subunit ribosomal RNA", at positions 28 to 507 of the family's 1533-position model. The record is from RNAcentral.
GACGAACGCUGGCGGCGUGCUUAACACGUGCAAGUCGAACGGAAAGGCCCCUUUGGGGGUACUCGAGUGGCGAACGGGUGAGUAACACGUGAGUAACCUGCCCUUGACUUCGGGAUAACUUCAGGAAACUGGGGCUAAUACCGGAUAGGAAUCCUUGCUGCAUGGUGGGGGUUGGAAAGCUUCGGCGGUUUUGGAUGGACUCGCGGCUUAUCAGCUUGUUGGUGGGGUAGUGGCUUACCAAGGCUUUGACGGGUAGCCGGCCUGAGAGGGCGACCGGCCACAGUGGGACUGAGAUACGGCCCAGACUCCUACGGGAGGCAGCAGUGGGGAAUAUUGCACAAUGGGCGGAAGCCUGAUGCAGCAACGCCGCGUGCGGGAUGACGGCCUUCGGGUUGUAAACCGCUUUCAGCAGGGGCGAAGCUUGUGGUGACGGUACCUGCAGAAGAAGCACCGGCUAACUACGUG